AGUGAACGCUGGCGGUAGGCCUAACACAUGCAAGUCGAACGACAGCACAGUAAGAGCUUGCUCUUACGGGUGGCGAGUGGCGGACGGGUGAGGAAUACACCGGAAUCUACUUUUUCGUGGGGGAUAACGUAGGGAAACUUACGCUAAUACCGCAUACGACCUACGGGUGAAAGCAGGGGAUCUUCGGACCUUGCGCGAUUGAAUGAGCCGAUGUCGGAUUAGCUAGUUGGCGGGGUAAAGGCCCACCAAGGCGACGAUCCGUAGCUGGUCUGAGAGGAUGAUCAGCCACACUGGAACUGAGACACGGUCCAGACUCCUACGGGAGGCAGCAGUGGGGAAUAUUGGACAAUGGGCGCAAGCCUGAUCCAGACAUACCGCGUGGGUGAAGAAGGCCUUCGGGCUGUAAAGCCCUUUUGUUGGGAAAGAAAAGCAGCAGGUUAAUACCCCGCUGUUCUGACGGUACCCAAAGAAUAAGCACCGGCUAACUUCGUG
This 492-nucleotide ribosomal RNA is filed under the name uncultured bacterium. RNAcentral describes it as "partial 16S ribosomal RNA". It matches the Rfam family "Bacterial small subunit ribosomal RNA", at positions 29 to 507 of the family's 1533-position model. The record is from RNAcentral.